Erpetoichthys calabaricus (reedfish) is the source of this 316-nucleotide long non-coding RNA. RefSeq lists it as uncharacterized. The record is from RefSeq and is a predicted model, not a curated record. The transcript has 3 exons. Lineage: Eukaryota; Metazoa; Chordata; Cladistia; Polypteriformes; Polypteridae.
AGUCACCACACACAUCAUGCAGAUACAGGAAUCAUCAGUUUUACAAAACAUCUCCAGACUUUUCUGAUGUUUCUCACAGAGUUUCUCCUUCAGAUUUAUGUCAGGAUCAACCAGGUUGUGUCCCUUCCAGGCAUCUCCUUCAUAGUGAGGCUGAAGGUGAGUCUGACAGUAGGAGGCCAUGCAGGUUAGACAGGACUUCACCGCUCUGAACUUCUUCCCAGUACAGAAGUCACACUCCACGUCUCCAGGGCCGGCAUAAUUCUGAGAUGGAGGAGAACUGAGUGUCGUCUUCUUUAGUUUCUUGAUGACUUCAUUC